Molecule: small RNA, 46 nt
Filed under: Arabidopsis thaliana (thale cress)
Lineage: Eukaryota; Viridiplantae; Streptophyta; Magnoliopsida; Brassicales; Brassicaceae
Description: ATSL098970
Source: RNAcentral
AAGUUUUGUUUAAGAGUUCAAAAAUGAUUUAAAGACUUUAUAAAAG